This 67-nucleotide transfer RNA is filed under the name Sisyra aurorae. RNAcentral's name for it is "tRNA-Ser". Lineage: Eukaryota; Metazoa; Arthropoda; Insecta; Neuroptera; Sisyridae. The record is from RNAcentral.
GAAAUAUAUUGUUUUAAAAAAUAGCUGCUAACUUUUUUUUUAGUGGUUUAAUUCCAUUAAUAUUUCU